CACAUGACUCUCGGCAACGGAUAUCUCGGCUCUCGCAUCGAUGAAGAACGUAGCAAAAUGCGAUACCUGGUGUGAAUUGCAGAAUCCCGUGAACCAUCGAGUUUUUGAACGCAAGUUGCGCCCGAGGCCUUCUGGUCGAGGGCACGUCUGCCUGGGCGUCACGU
This 164-nucleotide ribosomal RNA is filed under the name Sohnsia filifolia. Its description in RNAcentral is "5.8S ribosomal RNA". It matches the Rfam family "5.8S ribosomal RNA". Rfam says of the family: 5.8S ribosomal RNA (5.8S rRNA) is a component of the large subunit of the eukaryotic ribosome. Lineage: Eukaryota; Viridiplantae; Streptophyta; Magnoliopsida; Poales; Poaceae. The record is from RNAcentral. RNAcentral also lists the same sequence under 3 other names.